CGAGAACUCCCGAGCGAAGCAACAAAACCAUCAAAUAUGGCUGAGCCUCUCGGCUCGUCCUGCAGCCGCCGCGGCCGCGGCCUGAGACGCGCACCCCGACCCGCGCGCCCCCGCGCCCCCGCCCCCGCGUACCUGCUGCGCACGGGCUGGGCCUCCGCGGGCUGCGCGCCGCGCCGCAUGGGUCCGGGCCACCGAGGCCCCGCGGGGAGCCGGGCGGGCCCCUGCUGUCGCCCGCGCGCUCGGCCGGCCCGGCGCGCCCAGGCCCUCCCGGUAGGGCGUGCGGCUGGCGGCGGAGGAAGCGCGGGGACGCAGACUCAUUUCUGGGUCACUGCUGCCACAGGGGGGAGCACUUUAAUCCCCAGCCAAAGGAGAGGGUGGGGACAGUGGGGCGGGGAGCCGCUGGUAGGGGCUUGCUCCCGUUAACUCUUGGGGUCCUGACUGCAGCCAGAGGGGCUCUCCCCCCUCACCCACCUCGGGAGCCCGCAAACCCUCCAGGUGUCUCCUAGGAGGAAGAAGGAAACAAAGUAAAGCAGCAGAAAUCCUAACUGUGUGUGCUCUUUCUCCCCUCUCCCAUUUCCUUAACAAGGAGCAUAAAGACUCCCCUCCCUGACAGGAUCGCUGCUGCCUUGUGCUCACUCAGUCCUGCUCAGAACAAGUGAGGUGC
This 664-nucleotide long non-coding RNA is filed under the name Mus pahari (shrew mouse). RNAcentral's name for it is "lncRNA (MGP_PahariEiJ_G0003444.1)". The record is from RNAcentral. Lineage: Eukaryota; Metazoa; Chordata; Mammalia; Rodentia; Muridae.